This is a long non-coding RNA of Oryzias melastigma (Indian medaka), 776 nucleotides long. RefSeq lists it as uncharacterized. The record is from RefSeq and is a predicted model, not a curated record. The transcript has 2 exons. Lineage: Eukaryota; Metazoa; Chordata; Actinopteri; Beloniformes; Adrianichthyidae.
UUCUCAAUUUAUGUGUAACCAGGUCAAGUGAGCUCCACUUAAGUAAAAUAUGUAAUGCCUGGAGGGGCCAGUAAGUGGCGCUGUUGUUUUACUUGAGACAAAACUCACGAGCCAGCAAGUCGUCACGGGCGGGAGAAUAACACAGUAUGGCAGCCUGACGGUCCUGGCUCGUCACAUGCGCGUCGAUAAGGGAAAGUGCUUCAUGAUCGAAGAAAUAAGCAGAAGUGAGCUGCGCUUUUGAGGUGAAAGAACUGAGAGUAAGUGGCGUUCUAGAGAGAUAAGAAGCUUCAUAACGGCGAGUCGUAGGGCACCGAAGUAAGCUGUUGCUGUGUAUGGGAAAGGCUCUAGCUAGCCAGGCUAACAGAGUGUUCUGGAAGGCUACGGAGCUGCAGGACGGCGUGAGUUGUUUUCCUUUUUUUUUUGCCAUACACAUCUGUUCCGGGAUUGUUGAUUUUCAUUUCUGUUUACCCAAUGUAUAAUUUUACAAUGCAUGUUCUGCGCAGAGGGGAGACAACAUUUUCUGAGUUGAUCGUUGGUGAGACCGUGCCAGUAGGAGCCGGUCCUUUGUCGUCAUUUUCUAUUGAGACCACUGCUGUUGUCUUGUUGGGAUUAUUUUCUUUUCUUUUUAAAUUCAUCCAAGAUUUUAUGUUUGCUAUACCACCAAAUUAAACCCAAAUUAAUGCUGUUCCCUUUCUCUGGAAUAGUCGGGAAAUAAAAUACCCACAUUAUUUUGGAGCCGCUUGUGUCUGACCAGUUAUUCUACACCUGGCUACAUA